This 1056-nucleotide ribosomal RNA is filed under the name Alternaria sp. RNAcentral describes it as "SSU rRNA". It matches the Rfam family "Eukaryotic small subunit ribosomal RNA", at positions 55 to 1123 of the family's 1831-position model. Lineage: Eukaryota; Fungi; Ascomycota; Dothideomycetes; Pleosporales; Pleosporaceae. The record is from RNAcentral.
GGGUCUAGUUUAAGCAUUAUACCGUGAAACUGCGAAUGGCUCAUUAAAUCAGUUAUCGUUUAUUUGAUAAUACCUUACUACUUGGAUAACCGUGGUAAUUCUAGAGCUAAUACAUGCUGAAAAUCCCGACUUCGGAAGGGAUGUGUUUAUUAGAUAAAAAACCAAUGCCCUUCGGGGCUUUUUGGUGAUUCAUGAUAACUUUACGGAUCGCAUAGCCUUGCGCUGGCGACGGUUCAUUCAAAUUUCUGCCCUAUCAACUUUCGAUGGUAAGGUAUUGGCUUACCAUGGUUUCAACGGGUAACGGGGAAUUAGGGUUCGAUUCCGGAGAGGGAGCCUGAGAAACGGCUACCACAUCCAAGGAAGGCAGCAGGCGCGCAAAUUACCCAAUCCCGACACGGGGAGGUAGUGACAAUAAAUACUGAUACAGGGCUCUUUUGGGUCUUGUAAUUGGAAUGAGUACAAUUUAAACCUCUUAACGAGGAACAAUUGGAGGGCAAGUCUGGUGCCAGCAGCCGCGGUAAUUCCAGCUCCAAUAGCGUAUAUUAAAGUUGUUGCAGUUAAAAAGCUCGUAGUUGAAACUUGGGCCUGGCUGGCGGGUCCGCCUCACCGCGUGCACUCGUCCGGCCGGGCCUUCCUUCUGAAGAACCUCAUGCCCUUCACUGGGCGUGCUGGGGAAUCAGGACUUUUACUUUGAAAAAAUUAGAGUGUUCAAAGCAGGCCUUUGCUCGAAUACGUUAGCAUGGAAUAAUAAAAUAGGGCGUGCGUUUCUAUUUUGUUGGUUUCUAGAGACGCCGCAAUGAUUAACAGGAACAGUCGGGGGCAUCAGUAUUCAGUUGUCAGAGGUGAAAUUCUUGGAUUUACUGAAGACUAACUACUGCGAAAGCAUUUGCCAAGGAUGUUUUCAUUAAUCAGUGAACGAAAGUUAGGGGAUCGAAGACGAUCAGAUACCGUCGUAGUCUUAACCGUAAACUAUGCCGACUAGGGAUCGGGCGAUGUUCUUUUUCUGACUCGCUCGGCACCUUACGAGAAAUCAAAGUUUUUGGGUCUGGGGGAUAG